CUAUCAUAUGCUAUAUCAUUUUUGUAUGGCUGGACUUUCAUUGAUGUUUGACGUACAUACUUAUAUUGAUUAUUUGAGCCUGUUGAUAGCCGGUUUAUGAUUUCAUGACAUGUGCAUUGAUUUCUUAUGGUUUCAAAUCUAUAUUAUUAUUGUGUUGGCGUAGAUGUAUAGGGGUUCUUACUGGGCUGUAAAGCUCACCCCCCUUCUUCUUUCUCUUUUCAGAGUUGCAGGAUACAUAGACAUGGAUGGGUUGGGCGCGAAGCGCGAGCAUUAAAGUUAUUAGUUAGUUAGUUAGUUUAUCUUUCUUUGAUGCCAAUGAGCAUUUGAAGAUCUUGUAAUUGAACCAAUUUAAUUAUCUGGACAUGUUAGAUUUAUCUAUUUGAAUUAAGUAAUUAACUAUGGAAUUAUCGGAUUUUUGUUCAUCUUAGGCCUUGCAUGAUCUUUAGGGCACUGCUCUAGGGCUCAUGCAGCCGGUCGCGUACCGGACCCGGAUGCUGGGAUCGGAGCGUGACAGAGUCGUAUCAGAGCUUAAGGUUAAGGUAUCCUAGGGUUUAGGUUCAGGUGAGUGUGAGUGGAGAAUUAUGAUAGAAAGACUAUCAGAGCCUUGGUUUAUAAUCACUUGAGAUUGGAACAAGAAUGAUAUUAUAAUCUAAGGUUUAAGACCACUAGGGACUAUGGCCUUAGUAGCAUUAGAGUUUGAGGUUUAAGAUCAUUGGGGAUAGUGACAAAAUUAGAACCAAAGCAUAAGUUUAGGAUCGCCAGGUAUUGCGAUAGAAUUGUGUCAGAUCUUGAGGUUAUGAUCAUUCUAAACUUGACAUAAAGUAGCAGAAUUAAAUUCAAUGCUUAGGUGUAAGAUCACUAGGCAUUGUGAUAAAAUAUAAGUAUUGGGUUUGAUAUUCGAUGAGUACGAAACGAUUGGAUAAAUUGUCUCUGAUCAUGAUACGAGAGGUUAGACCUAACGUAAGUG
Molecule: long non-coding RNA, 967 nt
Filed under: Phoenix dactylifera (date palm)
Lineage: Eukaryota; Viridiplantae; Streptophyta; Magnoliopsida; Arecales; Arecaceae
Description: long non-coding RNA (PDAC_LNC016163)
Source: RNAcentral